RNAcentral lists this ribosomal RNA (253 nucleotides) under uncultured bacterium. RNAcentral's name for it is "partial 16S ribosomal RNA". It matches the Rfam family "Bacterial small subunit ribosomal RNA", at positions 524 to 776 of the family's 1533-position model. The record is from RNAcentral.
UACGUAGGGUGCGAGCGUUGUCCGGAAUUACUGGGCGUAAAGAGCUCGUAGGUGGUUUGUCGCGUUGUUCGUGAAAUCUCACGGCUUAACUGUGAGCGUGCGGGCGAUACGGGCAGACUAGAGUACUGCAGGGGAGACUGGAAUUCCUGGUGUAGCGGUGGAAUGCGCAGAUAUCAGGAGGAACACCGGUGGCGAAGGCGGGUCUCUGGGCAGUAACUGACGCUGAGGAGCGAAAGCGUGGGGAGCGAGCAGG